UGGGGAAUAUUGGACAAUGGGCGAAAGCCUGAUCCAGCCAUGCCGCGUGAGUGAAGAAGGCCUUAGGGUUGUAAAGCUCUUUCAGCGGGGAAGAUAAUGACGGUACCCGCAGAAGAAGUCCCGGCUAACUUCGUGCCAGCAGCCGCGGUAAUACGAAGGGGACUAGCGUUGUUCGGAUUUACUGGGCGUAAAGCGCGCGUAGGCGGAUCACUAAGUCAGGGGUGAAAUCCCGAGGCUUAACCUCGGAACUGCCUUUGAUACUGGUGAUCUGGAGAUCGGGAGAGGUUGGUGGAAUUCCGAGUGUAGAGGUGAAAUUCGUAGAUAUUCGGAGGAACACCAGAAGCGAAGGCGGCCAACUGGCCCGAUUACUGACGCUGAGGCGCGAAAGCGUGGGGAGCAAAACA
This 404-nucleotide ribosomal RNA is filed under the name uncultured Hyphomicrobiales bacterium. RNAcentral's name for it is "bacterial SSU rRNA". It matches the Rfam family "Bacterial small subunit ribosomal RNA", at positions 355 to 775 of the family's 1533-position model. Lineage: Bacteria; Pseudomonadati; Pseudomonadota; Alphaproteobacteria; Hyphomicrobiales. The record is from RNAcentral.